RNAcentral lists this ribosomal RNA (405 nucleotides) under uncultured bacterium. RNAcentral describes it as "partial 16S ribosomal RNA". It matches the Rfam family "Bacterial small subunit ribosomal RNA", at positions 28 to 526 of the family's 1533-position model. The record is from RNAcentral.
GACGAACGCUGGCGGCGUGCUUAACACAUGCAAGUCGAGCGGAGCGGCGAACGGGUGAGUAACGCGUGAGUAACUGCCCCCCUCCCUGGGAUAACAGUUGGAAACGGCUGCUAAUACCGGAUAGUGGGGGAUGACUCGCGGCCUAUCGGCUUGUUGGUGGGGUAGUGGCCUACCAAGGCGACGACGGGUAGCCGACCUGAGCGGGCGACCGGCCACAUUGGGCUGAGGUACGGACCAGAGUCCUACGGGGGGCAGUGGUGGGGAAUAUUGCGCAAUGAGGGAAAGCCUGAUGCGGCAGCGCCGCGUGCGGGAUGACGGCCUUCGGGUUGUAAACCGCUUUCAGCCAGGACGCGGUAGUGGCAGAAGAAGCACCGGCUAACUACGUGCCAGCAGCCGCGGUAAUUC